UUAAUUGAAGCCAAAAAGAGGCUUAUCACUGUUAAUGGUAGAACUGAGGUUUAUCUCCAAUUAAG
Molecule: transfer RNA, 65 nt
Filed under: Dacus eclipsis
Lineage: Eukaryota; Metazoa; Arthropoda; Insecta; Diptera; Tephritidae
Description: tRNA-Asn
Source: RNAcentral